GUGCGUCUUCAGGGCGGGGUGAAAUUCCCCACCGGCGGUAGGCCGGCAGCGCGACAGCGCGAGCCGGCAAGCCCGCGAGCGCCCGCAUCGAGUCGUCUUCGGAGUGUUGGAGACAGCGGCGGGGUCAGCAGAUCUGGUCAGAAGCCAGAGCCGACGGUCACAGUCCGGAUGGAAGAAGAGGUGC
Molecule: non-coding RNA, 184 nt
Filed under: Burkholderia sp.
Lineage: Bacteria; Pseudomonadati; Pseudomonadota; Betaproteobacteria; Burkholderiales; Burkholderiaceae
Description: FMN sequence
Rfam family: FMN riboswitch aptamer (RFN element)
About the family: The RFN element is a highly conserved domain that is found frequently in the 5'-untranslated regions of prokaryotic mRNAs that encode for flavin mononucleotide (FMN) biosynthesis and transport proteins. This element is a metabolite-dependent riboswitch that directly binds FMN in the absence of proteins.
Source: RNAcentral